CCUCCUUCUCUCUGCAACAAGAAAAAAAAAAAGCCAUUUACAGGGGGUGAUGUGCAACUAAUUAAAGGCAGACUGGCAGCGUCUGCAAAUCCUAAGGCUCCCCAAAUAAAAAGAGACUGUUGUAACAGUUGGAGGAUAAUGCAAAGGAAGACGCUGCCUGGAAAUUCGCCGUCUGUGGAUAUGUGCCCCAGAGAGGAAUAAAGCAACCGUUCACGAUCUGUCUUCCCCCCCUCACCCCUCCAACCUCGACCCAUCUUUCCCUCCUAACCAGGCCCCCACCCCAACACCAACCAUCACCCCCUUCCCUCCUCCCCACCUCCCCCCCUUUCCCGCCCAGGUGUCGGACCAGGCGCCCCCCUCUUCCACCCUGCACCCCUUCU
Molecule: long non-coding RNA, 380 nt
Organism: Vombatus ursinus (common wombat)
Lineage: Eukaryota; Metazoa; Chordata; Mammalia; Diprotodontia; Vombatidae
Exons: 3
Source: RefSeq, a predicted model, not a curated record